This 508-nucleotide ribosomal RNA is filed under the name uncultured bacterium. RNAcentral describes it as "partial 16S ribosomal RNA". It matches the Rfam family "Bacterial small subunit ribosomal RNA", at positions 30 to 523 of the family's 1533-position model. The record is from RNAcentral.
AUUGAACGCUGGCGGCGUGCCUUACACAUGCAAGUCGAACGGCAGCGGGGGAGAAGCUUGCUUUUCCUGCCGGCGAGUGGCGAACGGGUGAGUAAUACAUCGGAACGUGCCCUGUAGUGGGGGAUAACUAGUCGAAAGAUUAGCUAACACCGCAUACGACCUGAGGGUGAAAGUGGGGGACCGCAAGGCCUCAUGCUAUAGGAGCGGCCGAUGUCUGAUUAGCUAGUUGGUGGGGUAAAGGCCUACCAAGGCGACGAUCAGUAGCUGGUCUGAGAGGACGAUCAGCCACACUGGGACUGAGACACGGCCCAGACUCCUACGGGAGGCAGCAGUGGGGAAUUUUGGACAAUGGGCGAAAGCCUGAUCCAGCAAUGCCGCGUGUGUGAAGAAGGCCUUCGGGUUGUAAAGCACUUUUGUCCGGAAAGAAAUGGCUCUGGUUAAUACCUGGGGUCGAUGACGGUACCGGAAGAAUAAGGACCGGCUAACUACGUGCCAGCCGCCGCAGUAA